CCAAUAGCGUAUAUUAAAGUUGUUGCAGUUAAAAAGCUCGUAGUUGAACUUCGGGGUUUACCCAUUGGUCAGGCUUAAUUGUCUGUACUGGUGAGAUAAAUCUCUACCUUCUGAGGAACUUUCAUGUCAUUAAUUUGGUGUGAUUGGAAAUCAGGACUGUUACUUUGAAAAAAUUAGAGUGUUUAAAGCAGGCUAACGUCUGAAUACAUUAGCAUGGAAUAAUGAAAUAGGACGGACUGAUUCUAUUUCGUUGGUUUCUAGGAUCACCGUAAUGAUUAAUAGGGAUAGUUGGGGGCAUUAGUAUUCAAUUGUCAGAGGUGGAAUUCUUGGAUUUAUUGAAGACUAACUACUGCGAAAGCAUUUGCCAAGGAUGUUUUCAUUAAUCAAGAACGAAAGUUAGGGGAUCGAAGACGAUCAGAUACCGUCGUAGUCUUAACCAUAAACUAUGCCGACUAGGGAUCGGACGAAGUUAAUUUUAUAAUGACGCGUUCGGCACCUUACG
RNAcentral lists this ribosomal RNA (502 nucleotides) under uncultured Glomeromycotina. Its description in RNAcentral is "partial small subunit ribosomal RNA". It matches the Rfam family "Eukaryotic small subunit ribosomal RNA", at positions 591 to 1092 of the family's 1831-position model. Lineage: Eukaryota; Fungi; Glomeromycota. The record is from RNAcentral.